Molecule: long non-coding RNA, 686 nt
Organism: Pogoniulus pusillus (Red-fronted tinkerbird)
Lineage: Eukaryota; Metazoa; Chordata; Aves; Piciformes; Lybiidae
Exons: 3
Source: RefSeq, a predicted model, not a curated record
AUUGAAUUUCUCAAAGGCAGACAGCAGUAGCAGCAGUAGGCUCAAUGGCUUUUGCUGCAAGACGUUGACUAGUUUAGGACUGAGCUUUCAUUUAACUGCUUGCCAUUUCAUUUUAUUAAGUGCAAAUUGUGCCUUAAUAGAUUUACAGUUGUCAUAAACUUUGGCAUCAUGAAAGCUGUCAGAGUGGCCAGUUGCACAGCAUAUUACUCAUAUGAUGCUAGGAAAGGGUGAACUGGACAAGCCAGGCACCAAUGAGGUAUUAGAGUGGAGGUGGAAGACUCCAGAAGUGUACCUGCAAAUGAAAACUAGCUUCUUUUUCCUUGUCAGUGGCAAACUUUGUAAAUGAACUCUGCUAAACCAUGGGCACCCGAGUCCAAAGACACAGGGCAAAUAUCUGCAGCCCCUCUGUGUGUUGUUAAAGAGUUGGCUUGUUUACUCCAGGCAGUAUACCUGGAGAGCUGCAUUACUCCUCACCUGGAUAUUUAUGAAAAGAUCUUGAGGUCUUCAGGGAAGUUUGAUGCUAGAAGAAAGCAAGACUGAUGUAACUCUACUCUGUUGCACAUCCUAAGCAAAGAACUCUCUCAUGUAGGAGUAUGUGAGGGAAAAAAAAGAGCUGGUGUCCUACACAAGUAUGCAUUGCACAUAUUACACAUGAGUAUUUCAGAUCUGCAAAGUUGUACUUCAGA